This is a non-coding RNA of Acanthopagrus latus (yellowfin seabream), 897 nucleotides long. NCBI's taxonomy places the organism in Eukaryota, Metazoa, Chordata, Actinopteri, Spariformes, Sparidae. The record is from the annotation of a RefSeq genome assembly.
GCUGUUCUUGCCGUUAAGAGGCCAGUGUUGAUCAGUGGCUGUCCAGGCCUUUCACAGCCACUGACACGCCGGCAGCACAAUGAUGAUGUCACUGCUUCUGCUGCUGGCCACCCUGGGGCUCCUUGUUCAGGAUUCAUCAGGAGAAAUCACCCUGACUCAGUCUCCUGGAGCUCAGUCUGUUGCUCCAGGACAGACUGUUUCUAUCAGAUGUAAAGCCAGUACACUUAUAGGUGAUGACAUUAACUGGUACCUUCAGAAACACGGAGAAGCUCCUAAACUCCUGAUUUAUGAUACUACAAUUCGUCAGUCAGGAGUUUCAGAUCGUUUUCAUGCAACGGCACAUCAGACCGACUUCACUUUGACCAUCAGUGGCGUUCAGAGUGAAGAUGCAGGAGUUUACUACUGUCAGCAGCAUAACAGCUUCCCGCUCACACAGUGAUACAACGUCGCACAAAAACCUCCUUCAGCUAAAGAGGAACUGAUCUGAAUUCACAGCUGCAAAAACUGAAAGACAAUAUAUGACUAUAACACACAUUAUGACAUCAUCUAAAUCUAACAUUUUACCUUGACAAUAACAACUAUUAAGAAAAGUCUUCAACAGUUAUUAAGGAAACAUUUAAAUAUUUCACCUCCUCUGAGUUUGAUGUCAACUGAUUCAUCAGGUACGCUAAUAUACAAGAUAAUACAUCACAACUUUUCUUCUUCAGAAUUGUUUCUUCACGUUUUUUUGUAAGAUUAUUCUAUAGAUCCAAGAAAAUAUACAGUGUGGAACUGCAUCAUUAAAUACACAGUAUAUCAAAGAUAUAUAUUCAAUUAAAGAGUUGGGUUGUUAGGUUGGAUCCCAAUAUUUUCUUCAUUACUGCUGCAUGUCUCUGUAAGUUGAAUUACUUUUUUGAU